GUUGGUGAACCAGCGGAGGGAUCAUUACAGAGUUGCAAAGCUCCCUAAACCAUCGCGAACGUACCUAUAUCGUUGCCUCGGCAGGCGGCUCCAGGGCGGAGCCGCAGCCCUCACGGGCGCCUGCCGGCGGCCCAACAACUCUCUAUAUUCGUCGGUCUCUCUGAGUAUGACAUACAAAUAAGUUAAAACUUUCAACAACGGAUCUCUUGGUUCUG
This 215-nucleotide unclassified non-coding RNA is filed under the name rhizosphere metagenome. RNAcentral's name for it is "partial ribosomal RNA internal transcribed spacer region". The record is from RNAcentral.